This 789-nucleotide long non-coding RNA is filed under the name Salmo salar (Atlantic salmon). RNAcentral's name for it is "lncRNA (ENSSSAG00000111060.1)". Lineage: Eukaryota; Metazoa; Chordata; Actinopteri; Salmoniformes; Salmonidae. The record is from RNAcentral.
AUGGAGGCCAGGUACUGUAAGUGUUCAUGUUUAUGGGAUGUGAUGGAGGCCAGGUACUGUAAGUGUCCAUGUUUAUGGGAUGUGAUGGAGGCCAGGUACUGUAAGUGUUCAUGUUUAUGGGAUGUGAUGGAGGCCAGGUACUGUAAGUGUCCAUGUUUAUGGGAUGUGAUGGAGGCCAGGUACUGUAAGUGUUCAUGUUUAUGGGAUGUGAUGGAGGCCAGGUACUGUAAGUGUCCAUGUUUAUGGGAUGUGAUGGAGGCCAGGUACUGUAAGUGUCCAUGUUUAUGGGAUGUGAUGGAGGCCAGGUACUGUAAGUGUCCAUGUUUAUGGGAUGCUGGAGGUAAUAAUUCCACAAUAAUGACAACUCUCUAUCAGUACAGUUGACUUUUGCUAUUUUCAAGAUGGCUACGGAUAUUAGAUAUUUUCAAGAUGGCUACAGAUAUCAGCUAUUUUCAAGAUGGCUACGGAUAUCAGCUAUUUUCAAGAUGGUUACAGAUAUCAGCUAUUUUCAAGAUGGCUACGGAUAUUAGCUAUUUUCAAGAUGGCUACAGAUAUUAGCUAUUUUCAAGAUGGCUACAGAUAUCAGCUAUUUUUAAGAUGGCUACAGAUAUCAGCUAUUUUUAAGAUGGUUACAGGGUGUCAUAUUUGGCCACCUCAAAGGCUGAUUUAACUUAUUGUCUAUGGUGGUAGAGAAUUGGCUUUGAUGUAAUGGAAGGGGAAUGUCAUUAGUAUGACACACGAGGAAACUGUGGCAACGUGUGCGUGCCAACCCAGAGAAAGGAAUCAUGG